Molecule: unclassified non-coding RNA, 619 nt
Filed under: Hevea brasiliensis (rubber tree)
Lineage: Eukaryota; Viridiplantae; Streptophyta; Magnoliopsida; Malpighiales; Euphorbiaceae
Source: RNAcentral
CAGGACAUCACUGCCACCGAGGAUGAGUUUGACUUCCUGUGUAAGACAAUAGAUUGCCCACCAAAUUAGAUGGUGUUGUUACCAGAGAUGACCUUUUAUCUUUGCAGCAGGAAAAUAUAAGAAAUAAUUAAAUAGUUCUGGCUUCUGGGAACUUUUUGUAUAGAAAUAUGUUUAUUGGAUAUGCCAACUGCCAAGGGAAGAUGAUGCGUUAUUUUAGUUUGGUAUUACUUGAUUGAAAUAUGGAGUACUGAAAUUGUUUAUUAAAUAAAAACUUAAAAUUUACUUUGUGGUGGGAAAAACUUUGCAGAUCAUAUAGCAGAGUGAAAUGGGAUUUUCUGUGUUUUAUGCAUGUAUAGGUGGAUUAUGAAUUUAUUGAUUGUUAUGGGCAUGCCAAUAUCCUGUGGUGCCAGUUACCAUGGAUUUAUUUUCAUUCUUAAUUUUAUGUUUCAUUUUGGUGGACUGUGAAUACGCAUGCUUAAAUCGUAACCUGGAAGGGCUUUUGCCAAGUUCGAGUAUAUGUUUGUUCCUUGUCUUUCAUUUAUAAAUGAGAACCAUACUUUUUUUUCACUUGGCUGAAAUUGCUUUAGUAUAAUUGCAGUUUAUGAACAAAGUUCUCUAC